Molecule: ribosomal RNA, 483 nt
Filed under: uncultured bacterium
Lineage: Bacteria
Description: bacterial SSU rRNA
Rfam family: Bacterial small subunit ribosomal RNA
Source: RNAcentral
AUUGAACGCUAGCGGUAAGCUUUAUACAUGCAAGUCGAGGGGUAACAGUGGAAGCUUGCUUCCAGCUGACGACCGGCGGACUGGUGAGUAACGUAUAGGAAUCUGCAUCAAAGUGGGGGAUAGCUCGAAGAAAUUCGAAUUAAUACCGCAUAUGCCCAAGGGUGAAAGUGGGGGACCGUUUGGCCUCAUGCUUUGAUAUGAGCCUAUAUAGCAUUAGCUAGUUGGUGAGGUAAUAGCUCACCAAGGCUACGAUGCUUAGCUGAUUUGAGAGAAUGAUCAGCCACACUGGGACUGAGAUACGGCCCAGACUCCUACGGGGGAGGCAGCAGUAGGGGAAUAUUGGACAAUGGGGGGAAACCCUGAUCCAGCUAUACCGCGUGUGUGAAGAAGGCCUUAGGGUGUAAAGCACUUUUAUUUGAGAGAAGGUGUGUAUGUUAAUAGCAUGCAUGCUUGACGGUAACAAAUGAAUAAGUACCGGCUAAC